ACGGGUGAGUAACGCGUGGGAAUCUACCGUACCCUACGGAAUAGCUCCGGGAAACUGGAAGUAAUACCGUAUACGCCCUUUGGGGGAAAGAUUUAUCGGGGUAUGAUGAGCCCGCGUUGGAUUAGCUAGUUGGUGGGGUAAAGGCCUACCAAGGCGACGAUCCAUAGCUGGUCUGAGAGGAUGAUCAGCCACAUUGGGACUGAGACACGGCCCAAACUCCUACGGGAGGCAGCAGUGGGGAAUAUUGGACAAUGGGGGCAACCCUGAUCCAGCCAUGCCGCGUGAGUGAUGAAGGUCUUAGGAUUGUAAAGCUCUUUCACCGAUGAAGAUAAUGACGGUAGUCGGAGAAGAAGCCCCGGCAAACUUCGUGCCAGCAGCCGCGGUAAUACGAAGGGGGCUAGCGUUGUUCGGAAUUACUGGGCGUAAAGCGCACGUAGGCGGAUAAUUAAGUCAGGGGUGAAAUCCCGCAGCUCAACUGCGGAACUGCCUUUGAUACUGGUUAUCUUGAGUAUGGAAGAGGUAAGUGGAAUUGCGAGU
This 537-nucleotide ribosomal RNA is filed under the name uncultured bacterium. RNAcentral's name for it is "bacterial SSU rRNA". It matches the Rfam family "Bacterial small subunit ribosomal RNA", at positions 102 to 674 of the family's 1533-position model. The record is from RNAcentral.